This 1489-nucleotide ribosomal RNA is filed under the name Lactiplantibacillus plantarum. Its description in RNAcentral is "bacterial SSU rRNA". It matches the Rfam family "Bacterial small subunit ribosomal RNA". Lineage: Bacteria; Bacillati; Bacillota; Bacilli; Lactobacillales; Lactobacillaceae. The record is from RNAcentral.
GACGAACGCUGGCGGCGUGCCUAAUACAUGCAAGUCGAACGAACUCUGGUAUUGAUUGGUGCUUGCAUCAUGAUUUACAUUUGAGUAAGUGGCGAACUGGUGAGUAACACGUGGGAAACCUGCCCAGAAGCGGGGGAUAACACCUGGAAACAGAUGCUAAUACCGCAUAACAACUUGGACCGCAUGGUCCGAGCUUGAAAGAUGGCUUCGGCUAUCACUUUUGGAUGGUCCCGCGGCGUAUUAGCUAGAUGGUGGGGUAACGGCUCACCAUGGCAAUGAUACGUAGCCGACCUGAGAGGGUAAUCGGCCACAUUGGGACUGAGACACGGCCCAAACUCCUACGGGAGGCAGCAGUAGGGAAUCUUCCACAAUGGACGAAAGUCUGAUGGAGCAACGCCGCGUGAGUGAAGAAGGGUUUCGGCUCGUAAAACUCUGUUGUUAAAGAAGAACAUAUCUGAGAGUAACUGUUCAGGUAUUGACGGUAUUUAACCAGAAAGCCACGGCUAACUACGUGCCAGCAGCCGCGGUAAUACGUAGGUGGCAAGCGUUGUCCGGAUUUAUUGGGCGUAAAGCGAGCGCAGGCGGUUUUUUAAGUCUGAUGUGAAAGCCUUCGGCUCAACCGAAGAAGUGCAUCGGAAACUGGGAAACUUGAGUGCAGAAGAGGACAGUGGAACUCCAUGUGUAGCGGUGAAAUGCGUAGAUAUAUGGAAGAACACCAGUGGCGAAGGCGGCUGUCUGGUCUGUAACUGACGCUGAGGCUCGAAAGUAUGGGUAGCAAACAGGAUUAGAUACCCUGGUAGUCCAUACCGUAAACGAUGAAUGCUAAGUGUUGGAGGGUUUCCGCCCUUCAGUGCUGCAGCUAACGCAUUAAGCAUUCCGCCUGGGGAGUACGGCCGCAAGGCUGAAACUCAAAGGAAUUGACGGGGGCCCGCACAAGCGGUGGAGCAUGUGGUUUAAUUCGAAGCUACGCGAAGAACCUUACCAGGUCUUGACAUACUAUGCAAAUCUAAGAGAUUAGACGUUCCCUUCGGGGACAUGGAUACAGGUGGUGCAUGGUUGUCGUCAGCUCGUGUCGUGAGAUGUUGGGUUAAGUCCCGCAACGAGCGCAACCCUUAUUAUCAGUUGCCAGCAUUAAGUUGGGCACUCUGGUGAGACUGCCGGUGACAAACCGGAGGAAGGUGGGGAUGACGUCAAAUCAUCAUGCCCCUCAUGACCUGGGCUACACACGUGCUACAAUGGAUGGUACAACGAGUUGCGAACUCGCGAGAGUAAGCUAAUCUCUUAAAGCCAUUCUCAGUUCGGAUUGUAGGCUGCAACUCGCCUACAUGAAGUCGGAAUCGCUAGUAAUCGCGGAUCAGCAUGCCGCGGUGAAUACGUUCCCGGGCCUUGUACACACCGCCCGUCACACCAUGAGAGUUUGUAACACCCAAAGUCGGUGGGGUAACCUUUUAGGAACCAGCCGCCUAAGGUGGGACAGAUGAUUAGGGUG